Chroicocephalus ridibundus (black-headed gull) is the source of this 5478-nucleotide long non-coding RNA. RefSeq lists it as uncharacterized. The record is from RefSeq and is a predicted model, not a curated record. NCBI's taxonomy places the organism in Eukaryota, Metazoa, Chordata, Aves, Charadriiformes, Laridae. The transcript is spliced from 5 exons.
AGGACCGAGCCCGGUUCAUCGGCUAAGCAAUGCCAAGCUUCCCUCCACCGUGCCGACCACGGCUGCUGUUGACACAGAAAGCUGCUUUUGUGGCACCAGCAUCAGCCUCUGGCUGGAGACGAGCUCAGCUGAAGCUGACGCUGAGUAGGUGAUGCUGGAGACUGAUCUGUGAAUGCUGUGCUUCUAGGAGGUCCUUUCUAAUGCUCCGGUGUUUUCUUCUUCCCAAACGCUGUGGGAGAUCCAAACAGCCAUGGCAGCAAAAUGUUCCCAUAGGAAAUUAGCCAGAAGACUGUACUUCGGAAGUGGACUGCUGUGAUGAGUUUACCAGAUGCACUUUAACUGGAAUUCAUUGCACCUAAGAAUCAAUCUACAGACCAGGAAAAAGCUUCAGCUGGCAGAGGAUGCAUCAGCCUGUCUACCUAGAUGGUGGUCGCGCCAUCCUUAGAAGUGAUCGUAUCCAGGAGGCAUCCUCCACAGUCCAGGGAUGGCGUUGGGAAGUCAUGAGGGGAUGAUGGAGAGGAGAGGAUGAUCGAGGUACAGGAAACUUUUCUAGAUGAUUUGAAAGGUUUCUUUGUCUUUGAAAUGUGUACAACCAGAAGUAACCACGAGGCGGGAGGUGAAAGCUGAAACUGCUACGCUAAAGCCUGGCCCAGUCCAACGUCGGGGACAGCCUCUGAUGUUGGCAGCGAUGUAUGAACCAUCACCGCUGUUCCUUUGCCUUGCAAUAGGGCUGCGACACAAACCCUGUUGGGCUGGGCACUUCACCGGUGCAGAGCAAAAACCUGCCCCUGCCACAAAGAGGUCUCAGGCUCACAAGGUGCACAUUGGCGUUAGCCCAGCCAUGACCGCAUGAAGCAAACUAUUGUUUCUGUCACCGCUGGGAGAAGACAUGUUUCUCAUUCACAAGGAGCACUUUGGGGAUCAAAGACAGAAGCAUGUGAUGGGCACGUGAGCAACGGCACUGGCGGACAUGCAGACACCGGGGCAUCUCGCUGGCUGUUUAGCUGAAGCUGCUGCCUUCCCCAUUCAUGUGUGAGCACACAUCUUCUCUCCACUGGUCCUCCUCAUCUCAUCUCCAGCAGGUUUUUAUUCUCAUGCUUCUUUUGAAGCAAACCCAGAGGUUUCAUUGUCAAAGGAUGGUGUUUGAUGGAUGAAUCCCUCUCUUUUACCUUGCCUGAUGGGGAGGGUACAGGGCAAACUCAGUGUUUUUAAUGAUAAAUGCCACUUUCUUGAAGAGAAACAACCAAUCCAAAUGGUUUAGCAGCCCAUUUGGAUGGUCUGCCCAGGGGAGAGGGUGUCAUCAGAUUGAACUUGGUGUUACGCUGCCGUUUUACGUUCAGUUUGUUGCAGAGGCUGACUCAGAGCUCGGCACAGCUGCAGGCUUGUGCUAAGGCUCUUCCCCUGCUGCCUCCUAAAGCUUGUGGGUUAGAGGGACCUACACAUCAUUCGGCUUUUGGGUGUACGUGCCUGGGGCUUGGCAGGGUCUCAGGGUGCGGCACAACCACAGCCCGGGGGAGUUCAUGUCUCACUGGAGAAUUUCUUCUUCGUUUGGGGCAUUAUGGCAGAGAUUUUCUUCUUGCAAAGGCCCCAGCUCUGAGACAAUCACUGUCCUUGCUGCAGGGAAAUUAAUAGGGUGUCCAGGGGCAAAGGUAAAACUAAACUACAUAAGUAAAUGUUUGCAGGAUCAGGACCUUAUUCAGGCAUAAAUCAGGUAGCUCCAGCCAACAAUAGAAUUACCUAAGUAUAAAAUCCCAUGUAAGCCAGUAAGAUCAGCUCCAAACCUGCUAUGAAUUUGCUUUUUGUUUCCAUGCCAAGAAUAUAUCACUUCUAACUGCUUGCAAUCAGGUCUGGUCCUUUUUAUUAUUUUUUUUAAGUGCUUUUGGGCACAUUUAUUUCCCGUCACCAGCAGAUACACAUGGAGCCUGACCCUCCUUUUCUCAGGCAUGCCCCAGCCUGCUUCGCCCACAAUAAGUUGUCGCUAUCAGGGGCUGUAUUUUUUUCUUUCCUUGCCUUUUCUGUUACUGCAUUCAGUAAACAAAGGGACAGCAGUGACAAUCCAAAACCGUUCUUUGUAUUUGCCUGGGAACAGAGUCAACUAUUUGUUGGUCUUCUGUUGUUGGUUUUUUUUUUCCUUUUUUAACUGGUGACCGUUUAAAUGGCUACUGGUACCUGCGGUGCCGCAUAUACUGGUGUUGCAGGAUUUGUUACCAGAUGGCCCUGGGCAGUCACGGAGGAGGACAGGGAACUGCAAGUGGGAAGUAUGAAAGGGCACGGUGGUCCCUACUGCCUCCUGGAGAAUGUGGGAAUAGCCUGCAGGGUUUUCCUGGUCCUCGUACGUGCCUCAGUUUCCCCAGUUCUCAGCGCACUGUUUCGAGAUGGUGCCCCAACACAAGGUCUGGUGAUGUUUGCACCCGGUUGAGCUGGGAGGAGACCGGUUCUUGUAAAUGAGCUUGGGCAAAACACCUGGGAGAAGGAAGGCAGUGAGGGACGGUAGAGAGAGAAGGAAGCCGAAGGCUCUUUUAGCUCAAGGGCAAACUUUUAUUGCCCUCUCCAUCCAUGUGCAGCAGCAGUGAAGGCAGCUCCUGGUGCGGUCUCUUCCUGGCAGACACCAGGAGAAGUGUCCCCAUUCCCAUCCCUGCCUGUCCCUCCAGCUACAGCCCAUGGAAGGGUGCUCCAAAAGCCUGGGCCGAGCCUCCCCUGCCCCGUCACACCGGGACACAGCAGACCCCGGGACAGCAGCUGUGAGGAACAGGUACGCAUUUUCCAGGUGACAUUUAGGCUCUUAAAUUAUUUUUGAAAAUGGCCCAGAGGGUCCUAAUUUAUAUGCUGUAGAAAAUACUGCCUGUGACCUGCUUUGCCGUGAACGCUCCGCUUAGUGGGUUUUUUAUAGGCUUUGCCUUCUCAGUCUUGUGUCUUGAAGCAGAAGCGAAAUCCACCAGGUAACUGCAGCUGCUGUUCCCACCGUUGUGUUGUCCUCGUGGCACACCUCUGCCAUAAUGGCAGCUCGGUAUCUCGGCUAUGUCUGAAAUGGGAGUCCUUCUCUAACGCCACGGAGGGGAUGGCUGGCUGGCAGGGAAAAUAAAUCACCCUGAGCUGACGUCCUUUAGAAACCAUUAUUUCAAUAGACCACAAAAAUGAAGAAGUGCUGGGGUGAAGCCAGGCGUGACUCACAAACGGCCGCGCUGGAGUGUUCACCCGGGCAGCCGGGACCCAUGUGCGGGGCUCGGUUACACCGGUCCCGACAGAGUGGCUCCCAGGCGGCAUCCACGGCACAGCACCCUCCUCGCUUCUCUCCAGGCUGUUUCAGGGAACCUUUUGCAGUGAUUUCCACUUGCACCAUCCAGCGUGGGAAUGGGCAGGGAGGGCAGUUCUGUGCUGCAGGUUUUUUGGUGGUUAGUUUUGUUCAGCUCUGGAGCAAAACCCAAGCCUUGCGAGUGACCAUGCAGUACGAAAGCAUCCUCUCGCAGCUCCAGAGCAGUGCUUUUCCCUGUGCGUUGGGCGCUGACGUGGGCUGGGGACACCGUGGUGCCUUCAGAGCCGUUUGUCACCCCUGGGGGUUGAGGAGCAGGGGCGGGAGCUGCUCCCCUGCCUCCGCCAGCCGUAACCGCCGUGCUGCAAACCAGAAGCCCCUGCAGCAAAACGUCCUCGGGAGCCAUAUGGCAUCUCGGAGGCUUUGAUCGAGUUGAAUGAAACCCAGAGCAGCCCGGCAGGUUGCACUGUGAGCCGUGGCGAGCCUGGGGGGGGCCUGUCCUACCCUGCUUGGGGCAUGCAGGCUGCCAGCCCGGGCAUUAACUAAGCGCCUUAGUGUCUGCCGGCGGUGCCCGGUGGAGGUGCUGGCGGGACCGGGGGGUUUGCGCGUACAGGAGGAUGGGUUUGUGGUCAAGUGACACACGUGGAGGGAAGAGCAUCUCAGGCUGAGGUUUGAAACAGCUGGCAGGGAGACGGUGGGUCAGCGGAGCUGUCAGUGGGGGUACGCGGUGUUUGCUGUAAACCCAGCCCAUAAAAGCCACGAUUCAAACUUCGUUUUCAGGAUGAAGGCUGGCUCUGCCAAGCCACCGUGAACUGCAGGAGAGGCCUGACCUCAGCUCUGCUCUCUCUGGUGGGGAUAAACAGUCCUGGAGCACAUUGGAAGGAGAGGUGUGGACUCGGGUCUAACCUGCUGGUGUCCGCCAAAACAAGCUGCAAAUCCACAGAGGCAGGAAAAAUUCACAGAGGAGAAUUUCUGCUGGAUUUUUACCUCUCACCUCGCUUCAGCACUUUGUGAUGCUUCAAGUUUGCCAUGGAAAAAGAAGCAGCCCGGGUCCAUUGAAUCUCAAACCUUAUAUUAAGCAUUUAAUGUCUGGUCUCCAGGGCAGAGCCAUCUUCCAGGGCCAGGCUCAGCCCUCAGCCCUGCCCUGGUAGGACCGAGUGGUUGUGAGCGGCAUCUCCGGGGCCGGGAUGUCUCAGGCUGGAGGAGGGAUGUGUUCCCUCCCGCCUGGAGCGACGGGGAGGCCACAGCAACUCACUGAGCUCAGGGCACUGGCCAGAAAGGGCAAGGACCCGGUGCAGAAGAUGGAUGUUUAAUGUUGCAAAGGUUUCUGCAGGUUUGGGCUGUAAUUCUCAUAAUGCAAAAAUGCCUGAUUUCCGAGUUUGCUCUUAAAGAAAGUAGGGGGGUGGAGGCAUGACUGUUUCUGACAGAUUAUAGAUUAAUUUUUUAACUCUGUACCCAUAAAAUGUUGUCAUGCAAAAAAAAUCUGACCCCUACAGAAACUCAUUUCAAAAUGAAUAACUGCAGCAUUUUUUCUUUUCAGUCAUUGUCUAGAAGGGAUGUUUCAGUAUUGCUGGGACUUCCCUUUCCCACCUCUCUUCACCAGAGUGCAAUAUUCUGAUAUAAUUCUUGGGGCAUUUGGGCUCUGAUAACAUUUGCUUCCAAGCCUCCUGCCACCUCACAGAGCUACAUGAAGGUACGUAAGCUUUAUUCCUCCACUUUCUCUCUCCCAGGAGGAGGAUGGGAACUGGAAAAUUCCUCCAGUUCCUCACUGAAAGGGUUGAGGCGAUAGGGCUCUGCAGAAAACAUCUCUGGCAAUGGGCUCUCGCAGCAGUUUUAUCUGCUUGCUGGGCUGAAGAUCCUGACCGCAGCCAUCGCAGCAGAUGCUCUCUGGAAGCACUCUGAAAUUAAACCUCUUUCAAUAGCAAUAGCAGAACUGUUGGAAAAAGUUAUACAUCUAAACUAGCAAAGGUGUUAAUCUGUCUCAGGGGCAAAAAAAAAAAAAAAAAAAAAAAAUCCUGCGAAAUUUCUAGGGGCUUUGCUUGGUUUUCCUGCACCUGAACAGGCUCUUAGGCCUGUGCCCGUGCAUCGCUGCGUGGAGGAGAAGCCCUGGCACAGAGCGGCCACUUCUGCUAAUAACGGGAAAGUUGGUGUUUGGUCCUGCUGUCAACGGGCUUUAGCUUGGAGAGAAACCUUCACUAAUAGCUGAUUUGUAGCAUUUUUACAGCGAA